This is a non-coding RNA of Nothobranchius furzeri (turquoise killifish), 444 nucleotides long. NCBI's taxonomy places the organism in Eukaryota, Metazoa, Chordata, Actinopteri, Cyprinodontiformes, Nothobranchiidae. The record is from RefSeq and is a predicted model, not a curated record.
GUGUCGAGCGAUGAAGAAUUCAUAUUGGAAGCAGUGAUGGAAGACAGUUCAGAUGGAGUGUGCCCGAGCCUGCCACAGACUUUGAUGUGUCGUGGGAAAGUCUGAGACCAGGGGCUAAAGGAAAGGGGAGAGGAAAAGGUCGCUCCGAGGGUCGGGGAAGGACACGCUCAAGGGGUGAGGGCAGCAGGUUGAGGUCCAGAGCUCCUUCAAGAGGACCAGGGCGCCGGGGUAGGCAGCGAACAGCUUUCAAAGAAGAGGACCGAGACCGGCUUGCACAGCUGAGAGCUGCCAGUAUAGCUGAGAUGCAGACAGCUUUACAACACCUGAGCCAGGAGGAGAGAGAUUAUAUUCUUGAGAGAGUGGUGACCCGUCUUCCAGGGGUGAUGCUGGAUAUCCUGGAGUUUCGGCAAGAGACGCCAGGACACCGUCUUCCUGAAUGAGGGC